GGAUUAAAAUUUAUUUGUUUUUAAGAUGUCAAUUUUACAAUUUGACUUAAGAAUAAACAAGUUCCAUGGAGGACUGAUCCUGGCUGGAAGUAUUGUGUUGAACUUCCUUCAAUCAGAUCGCAGGAAGGCAAACCUUAUAAAUAUGUUGAGUGCUACUUUUGUAAGAAGUGGACCACUGGCGGAAUUAAAAGGCUAAAGGAGCAUCUUGCAAAUAAUCAUAAGAGUGUUGCAGGUUGUCCACGAGUUUCCAUUGAGGUUGAAGAAGAAACGAAGUCGUUUAUGUUGAAAAAGACCGAGGGUAAAAGAACAGCAAGGAAAAAUUUGUAUUGUACGCCUUGUAUUGCACACUGCAUUGACUUAAUGUUGGAGGACAUUCUUAAGUUACCCCUCCAUACUUCUGUGUUCACCAAGGCCAAGAAAAUAAUAAAUUUUAUAUACGGUCAUGCAAGGGUGUUACCAAUGGUAAGAAAGUUUACCGGUGGAGAUUUGGUGAAACCUGCUGUUACUUGAUUAGCCACUGCAUUUCUUACUUUGCAAAGCUUGUUUGGAGCAAGGGAUGGACUUGAAUCCUUUUUUACUUCAAGAAAGUGGAAAACCAAUGCUUAUGCAUCUCGAUUGGAAAAAAUAUGCACAACAUAGUUCUAAAAAGCAAGUCGUUUUGGCCUGGUGUUGCUAACGUUCUCAACACAACAAAGUCCUUUGUUAUAGUUUUUCGAAUGGUGGAUUCCGAGAAGUAUCCACCAAUAGGAUUUAUUUACGAAGCUAUGGAUAGGGCUAAAGAAAAAAUUGCAAAAAAUCUAAAUAAUGAUGUUGCAAAGUAUCAGAUUGUGGAUCUUGUGGAUACUUGGUGGGAUCAUCAGCUUCACACGCAUUUGCACGCUGCUGCAUAUUUUCUAAAUCCUCAUUUCCAAUAGGAACCUUCUUUCUCUUCUCAUCGUAAGAUUAAAUUGAGACUUUAUUCUUGCAUGGAGCGAUUGGUGAUUCAGAAGAAAGAGAAGAAGUGGAUUUGCAGAUCGAUUCUUUUUGAAAUGCACCAGAUUUAUUUUUGAAAUGCACAAGAUUUAUUUUUGAAAUGCACAAGAUUUUAUUUGGACUGGUAAAUGCAGUAAGCACGAGAAAGAAGAGAAGUCCAGCAGAUUGGUGGAGAGCUUUUGGAGAUCAAACGCCUGAACUUGCAAAAAUUGCCAUUAGAAUCUUGAACAUGACUUGUAGUGCUUCUGGAUGUUAACGGAAUUGGAGCUUCUUCAAUCAAGUGCAUACAAAGAGAAGAAAUCGCUUGAAGCCAGCGAAACUCAAUAAUUUGGUUUACAUUAUGUUCAAUUUAAAACUAAAACACAGGGAGUUAAAGAAGAAAGCAAUUGAAGAUCCCCUUUGUUUGGAUGAUGUAGACUCUGGCGAUGAAUGCAUCUCAGAGCUUUAAGAUCCUGAGGUAGAGGCCUAUGAAGAUCUUGAUAAAAAAUCCAAUUGAUGACGGUGGAUUUUCCGCAUGCCAGGAAGGAAAGCGAAGAAGAAGAGGUUGAAUUGAAUUUCAUGGACAAUUCUCUCGAGGAUUCUAAUAGUAGUACUCUAGCUCUAGUGACAAUAGCGAUGAUUGAUGGGUUAAGACUUAUGAGAUUAGACCAUAUGUAUUUCGAAUCUGUAAAAGUUUGGAACUUUUAAUGAUUUUUUUGGAACUUCUAAUGAAAC
Molecule: long non-coding RNA, 1686 nt
Organism: Hydra vulgaris (swiftwater hydra)
Lineage: Eukaryota; Metazoa; Cnidaria; Hydrozoa; Anthoathecata; Hydridae
Source: RefSeq, a predicted model, not a curated record